UACGAAGGGGGCUAGCGUUGCUCGGAAUUACUGGGCGUAAAGGGCGCGUAGGCGGACAGUUUAGUCAGAGGUGAAAGCCCAGGGCUCAACCCUGGAAUUGCCUUUGAUACUGGCUGUCUUGAGUACGGGAGAGGUGUGUGGAACUCCGAGUGUAGAGGUGAAAUUCGUAGAUAUUCGGAAGAACACCAGUGGCGAAGGCGACACACUGGCCCGUUACUGACGCUGAGGCGCGAAAAGCGUGGGGGAGCCAAACAGGGAUUAAGAAAACCCCUAGUAGUC
Molecule: ribosomal RNA, 279 nt
Filed under: uncultured bacterium
Lineage: Bacteria
Description: partial 16S ribosomal RNA
Rfam family: Bacterial small subunit ribosomal RNA
Source: RNAcentral